Long non-coding RNA from Prionailurus viverrinus (fishing cat), 1050 nucleotides. RefSeq lists it as uncharacterized. NCBI's taxonomy places the organism in Eukaryota, Metazoa, Chordata, Mammalia, Carnivora, Felidae. The transcript has 3 exons. The record is from RefSeq and is a predicted model, not a curated record.
CGCAUACUGAGGCAUCCGGUGGCAAGGAGUGAGGGUCUCCCCUGUAGGAAGCGUACACAGAAGGACCUAACAUUUAUGGAGUGGUUGCAAGGUGGGUGUGUAGCCUGUGGGUUGGACCAAUGUGGUCAAGAAAGUCCUGCAAAUGGGCAGUGAGAGGCGAUGGUGCCUCAGGGCCUGUUGGCAGCACCAGAGGCCAAGCCUGUCAUCAGCUUUCCCCGGCUCAGAAAAUAAAGGCAAGUUCCUUGACAUGGCUGGUGAGGUCUUGCCUUGGUCUGGCCCCGCCUCCUUCUCCAGCCUCACUGCCCAGCUGGGCCCCCUCGCCCUGUCUUUCAGGCUCUCGUAUUUGCCAAGCUCUCGUCUGCCACAGGGACAUUGCACAUGCUAGGUUUCCUGCCUGGAAUGAUCUUCCUCUUUGUAUCUAGUUAAAUCUUACUCACCGCGACUCAAAGGUCACUUGCUCAAGGAAGCUUUUUCUGAUCGCUCUGACCCAUUUGAAUACCCCCAUUAUGGGCUAUCAGGGAACCACGAGAACUUGCAUUUAGAAACGAUUGCAAUUGUGUAUUUAUUUAUGUAUGUUUUUUAUUGGUGUUUGUCUCUCUUCCAAACUGUUAGCUCUGUAAGGGCGGAAGCAGUAUUGCUUUUGCCCAUCGUUGUAUCUCAGUGCCUGUUAUUCCCUCAACAAAUAUUUAUCGAGCACCUGCAAACGUGACAGAUGCUGCUCUGGUGCUCGAGAUGCUCGCAUGAACAAAAUGGAGGUCCCGCCCCCCAUGGAGGGUGCUUUUUAGCACAGAUUAGUCUACUAAUAUUAGCUUCAUAAAAUUCGUCAAUAGUUACCAUGUGCUAGGGCACUUGCUAAGUGCUUUUCAUGAAUUACCUCACUUAAUCCCCUCAAAAUCUGAUUUUUACCUUUUUUAAAUUCCUCUUCUUUCGGCUGUUAAAAAUGGAAACUUGAGUCUCUCAAGCCCCUCAUUUCACGGCAUAUUAUUGCUAGCGACCUGCUGGACUCUUCCUUGGUUCACGGAUUGAUUUUCCUUUAUCCCCUAUUUCUGC